CCGUGCACCGCUGGACCGUGGGAUCCCAUGGCCGGGCUGAGACAAGGGCAGCCGUGUGAGCCACCCUGUCAUGACAUAUAAUGGCCUUGUCAUCAUGCCACAACAAUGCCGGGGCUCGUGGUCCUCUUUCUCCAUGGCUACAGAAGGGAACGCGUUCCCAGGCCUCAGAGCGACAGGGAUUUGCCUACAUAGGAUUUUGCAUAAGACAAUCCCGAACCAGUCACUUCAUGGCGACGGAGGUGACACAGCGGGCAGGAGCCACGGGACCCGCAGUCGUCCUCCGUACGGCCACGCCUGGCAGCCGUAAGGUGGUUGGAGCUACACCUGCGAGGCUGAGCGCCGUCCUCAGAGAUGGGUGUAGGUCUGGAGCCCGUAACCGCUCUGCGCACAGAGGAACAGAGAGUGUACAUGCAAGCCGGGAGCAGGAGGGAGAGAGGAUCUCAAGCAGACUCUGGGCUAAGCUCGGAGCCAGACACAGGGCUCAAUCUCACCACCCCAGGAUCACACACGACCUGAAUGGAAACCAAGAGUCGGACAUUUAUCUGGCUGAGCCAGUCGGGUGCCCCAGUAAGAAAAAAUUCUUAAUUCAAGGAUCCUCGCUGAUGAAAUGACCAUUAUCUGGAAUAUUUCUGGUCUUCCUGGCUGAGGGAAAGAGACCUCUGGCAAUCAUGUUCUCUGGCGUGAAGAUGAAGGCGCCACUUCCUCUCACACCUGUCACAUGGUGUCAGCUGACCACGGAGGGACCAGGCCAUGCAGCCCUCCCGUGCGGUCGAAGAUGGAGCGGAGUUGGUGACUACUCACUUGAGUGAAAACCAUCAUAUGCAUCCCAUUUACCAUAAUUCUAAGUAUUCAGUUUUGUAGUUUAUUCUCUAAAUAAUGAGUAACAGCAUUUGG
Molecule: long non-coding RNA, 894 nt
Organism: Nyctereutes procyonoides (raccoon dog)
Lineage: Eukaryota; Metazoa; Chordata; Mammalia; Carnivora; Canidae
Exons: 3
Source: RefSeq, a predicted model, not a curated record